RNAcentral lists this ribosomal RNA (468 nucleotides) under uncultured bacterium. Its description in RNAcentral is "partial 16S ribosomal RNA". It matches the Rfam family "Bacterial small subunit ribosomal RNA", at positions 28 to 507 of the family's 1533-position model. The record is from RNAcentral.
GACGAACGCUGGCGGCGUGCUUAACACAUGCAAGUCGAACGGAAAGGCCCUGCUUUUGUGGGGUGCUCGAGUGGCGAACGGGUGAGUAACACGUGAGUAACCUGCCCUUGACUUUGGGAUAACUUCAGGAAACUGGGGCUAAUACCGGAUAGGAGCUCCUGCUGCAUGGUGGGGGUUGGAAAGUUUCGGCGGUUGGGGAUGGACUCGCGGCUUAUCAGCUUGUUGGUGGGGUAGUGGCUUACCAAGGCUUUGACGGGUAGCCGGCCUGAGAGGGUGACCGGCCACAUUGGGACUGAGCUGCGGCCCAGACUCCUACGGGAGGCAGCAGUGGGGAAUAUUGCACAAUGGGCGGAAGCCUGGUGCAGCAACGCCGCGUGCGGGAUGACGGCCUUCGGGUUGUAAACCGCUUUCGCCUGUGACGAAGCGUGAGUGACGGUAAUGGGUAAAGAAGCACCGGCUAACUACGUG